AUUGAACGCUGGCGGCAGGCUUAACACAUGCAAGUCGAGCGGGGUGAUGGUGCUUGCACUAUCACUUAGCGGCGGACGGGUGAGUAAUGCUUAGGAAUCUGCCUAUUAGUGGGGGACAACAUCUCGAAAGGGAUGCUAAUACCGCAUACGUCCUACGGGAGAAAGCAGGGGAUCACUUGUGACCUUGCGCUAAUAGAUGAGCCUAAGUCGGAUUAGCUAGUUGGUGGGGGAAAGGCCUACCAAGGCGACGAUCUGUAGCGGGUCUGAGAGGAUGAUCCGCCACACUGGGACUGCGACACGGCCCAGACUCCGACGGGAGGCAGCAGUGGGGAAUGUCGGACAAUGGGGGGAACCCUGAUCCAGCCAUGCCGCGUGUGUGAAGAAGGCCUUAUGGUUGUAAAGCACUUUAAGCGAGGAGGAGGCUCUUUUGGUUAAUACCCAAGAUGAGUGGACGUUACUCGCAGAAUAAGCACCGGCUAACUCUGUGCCAGCCGCCGCGGUAA
This 503-nucleotide ribosomal RNA is filed under the name uncultured bacterium. RNAcentral describes it as "partial 16S ribosomal RNA". It matches the Rfam family "Bacterial small subunit ribosomal RNA", at positions 30 to 523 of the family's 1533-position model. The record is from RNAcentral.